This 790-nucleotide long non-coding RNA is filed under the name Phasianus colchicus (ring-necked pheasant). RNAcentral's name for it is "lncRNA (ENSPCLG00000005079.1)". The record is from RNAcentral. Lineage: Eukaryota; Metazoa; Chordata; Aves; Galliformes; Phasianidae.
CACUUUCAAGAUCUUUGUGUGGUAAAAAUCUUUCACAUUUUUUAUCAUGUUUUACAGGGGAUCUACUCAGUUCAUUCGAGUUCAGCACUGAAAUGUGUAUACUAAACUAGGAUCUUGUGGUCCUGGAACACAGCAGCUGCUCUCCCUCUUCUGUUUUUGAGAAUCCACUACAGCAUCUUCUUUCAUUUUCCUGAACAAGUGCAAUGAUGGUAGAUCUCAUUGGAUGCAAAGAAAAGAGGAGCAAGAGACAAUUUUUGUCUGAGGAAAUUACUCCAGUAUUUGAAAUCAUGAACACCAAUAAGGUAGGGAAGCUUGCUUAUAUUAUGGUUAAAGGCUCAAGCAUAGAAGUCAUUUUCUAGUUAUCUUACUCUGCUUUCCACUGCUCCAUAUUUGUCAAAAGGAUGUUUUGUGGUGUAAGUUACUCUAUGAUAUGUAGAAGAAUGUAGGGAUUAAAGCGAAUUGUGAUCAUUUAACAAUAAUUACUGACAAGACAAAUUAACAAGGCCUAGCAUGUGGCUAUAUUUAGAAGCUGAAGUUGAUACAAUGCUGUUGCUUAUUGGGGCACAAGGGCACCAUUGGGGAAAUACGGGUUCUGUUCCCACUUUGGGCUGAUUGGUGAUUAUGGGGAUGUCACUACUCAGUUUUCCAACUUGAUGAAUGAGAAAUGGUAGUUAUCUCCCUUGUACAUUGAGAGUCAAUGAGAAAAUCAAAGUAAUCACUAGAUAUCAUUAAAGAAAGGAAACGUUUUCAGGAUCCAUAAUAAAUCCAAUACAAAAUGCUACUGUUGACA